CUUUCAUGGUGAAUUACUCCGAUAAUUUUAGGUGGAAAAAGGAGAAGCCGAACGAUCGAUUCUUAUGCUAGAAAACCAAAAAUAAUCUGUCCAUUUUCCUCGCACGCGGCGAUAUAUACUGAUCGGCUGCGAGGCUUAGCAACAACACCAUUCAGUUUUCAUACAGAUAGUGUCGUCUGCUAAACCUGGUAUUAAUGGCGAGAAUGUGAGGUCCCCUUUCUUUCGUGGAUUAAUUUAAUAUUUUUCUAUCCUCCUUUACACAGUCAUCGACUUAAUUUACCAGUUAUAAAGUUGGUUUGUUGCGUUGUGUUUGAGGUGGCAUUUUCGUCGUUCCCUUUGGAGUAUUUUUGUGACCAAUAUCCGUAUAUAGUGAUUUUGCUUCGACAUUAUGUGGAUUGCUUAAUGCAAUCAUGAAAAAUGCAAAUUCUCGAAAACGAGUAUCUUUUGGGAGUAAAGGUUCUAUGGUAGAAACAUGGGUUAUAGAUGAUCAGAUUCCAACAGCUAAAUCGACGACAGAGAAUCAAUUCUAUCAUAAUAUAGUUGCUAAUAAACAAACACGCAAUGACAUAGUAAUUCCAAUGACUAUACACGUCAUCGAUAAGGAGGAAGCCCAUCGCGGUGGUUGGCCUUUACGCCGCUCCGCAAGUUUGGAAAGCCGAGAUAACCCAUUUCUACCAGGUUCACCAUUAGCCAAAGAAA
Long non-coding RNA from Patella vulgata (common limpet), 699 nucleotides. RefSeq lists it as uncharacterized. NCBI's taxonomy places the organism in Eukaryota, Metazoa, Mollusca, Gastropoda, Patellidae. The record is from RefSeq and is a predicted model, not a curated record. The transcript is spliced from 4 exons.